Molecule: ribosomal RNA, 2480 nt
Filed under: Campylobacter coli
Lineage: Bacteria; Pseudomonadati; Campylobacterota; Epsilonproteobacteria; Campylobacterales; Campylobacteraceae
Description: partial 23S ribosomal RNA
Rfam family: Bacterial large subunit ribosomal RNA
Source: RNAcentral
AGGUAAGCUACUAAGAGCGAAUGGUGGAUGCCUUGACUGGUAAAGGCGAUGAAGGACGUACUAGACUGCGAUAAGCUACGGGGAGCUGUCAAGAAGCUUUGAUCCGUAGAUUUCCGAAUGGGGCAACCCAAUGUAUAGAGAUAUACAUUACCUAUAUAGGAGCGAACGAGGGGAAUUGAAACAUCUUAGUACCCUCAGGAAAAGAAAUCAAUAGAGAUUGCGUCAGUAGCGGCGAGCGAAAGCGCAAGAGGGCAAACCCAGUGCUUGCACUGGGGGUUGUAGGACUGCAAUGUGCAAGAGGUGAGUUUAGCAGAACAUUCUGGAAAGUAUAGCCAUAGAGGGUGAUAGUCCCGUAUGCGAAAAACAAACCUUAGCUAGCAGUAUCCUGAGUAGGGCGGGACACGAGAAAUCCUGUCUGAAGCUGGGUCGACCACGAUCCAACCCUAAAUACUAAUACCAGAUCGAUAGUGCACAAGUACCGUGAGGGAAAGGUGAAAAGAACUGAGGUGAUCAGAGUGAAAUAGAACCUGAAACCAUUUGCUUACAAUCAUUCAGAGCCCUAUGUAGCAAUACAGGGUGAUGGACUGCCUUUUGCAUAAUGAGCCUGCGAGUUGUGGUGUCUGGCAAGGUUAAGCAAACGCGAAGCCGUAGCGAAAGCGAGUCUGAAUAGGGCGCUUAGUCAGAUGCUGCAGACCCGAAACGAAGUGAUCUAUCCAUGAGCAAGUUGAAGCUAGUGUAAGAACUAGUGGAGGACUGAACCCAUAGGCGUUGAAAAGCCCCGGGAUGACUUGUGGAUAGGGGUGAAAGGCCAAUCAAACUUCGUGAUAGCUGGUUCUCUCCGAAAUAUAUUUAGGUAUAGCGUUGUGUCGUAAUAUAAGGGGGUAGAGCACUGAAUGGGCUAGGGCAUACACCAAUGUACCAAACCCUAUCAAACUCCGAAUACCUUAUAUGUAAUCACAGCAGUCAGGCGGCGAGUGAUAAAAUCCGUCGUCAAGAGGGAAACAACCCAGACUACCAGCUAAGGUCCCUAAAUCUUACUUAAGUGGAAAACGAUGUGAAGUUACUUAAACAACCAGGAGGUUGGCUUAGAAGCAGCCAUCCUUUAAAGAAAGCGUAAUAGCUCACUGGUCUAGUGAUUUUGCGCGGAAAAUAUAACGGGGCUAAAGUAAGUACCGAAGCUGUAGACUUGCGCACAACUUAGAUUAUUUAAGUUUAGAAUAUGAGAAACUAAGUUAUAUGUUUAGUUAUAUUUUUACUGAUUUUUAUAGAGUAAAGAUAGAAAUAAAACUUAGUAAAAUCAGUAAAAAUAUUCUUAGACUAAAGUUAAGUAGUUUAAGUUGUGUGCAAGUGGUAGGAGAGCGUUCUAUUUGCGUCGAAGGUAUACCGGUAAGGAGUGCUGGAGCGAAUAGAAGUGAGCAUGCAGGCAUGAGUAGCGAUAAUUAAUGUGAGAAUCAUUAACGCCGUAAACCCAAGGUUUCCUACGCGAUGCUCGUCAUCGUAGGGUUAGUCGGGUCCUAAGUCGAGUCCGAAAGGGGUAGACGAUGGCAAAUUGGUUAAUAUUCCAAUACCAACAUUAGUGUGCGAUGGAAGGACGCUUAGGGCUAAGGGGGCUAGCGGAUGGAAGUGCUAGUCUAAGGUCGUAGGAGGUUAUACAGGAAAAUCCGUAUAACAAUACUCCGAGAACUGAAAGGCUUUUUGAAGUCUUCGGAUGGAUAGAAGAACCCCUGAUGCCGUCGAGCCAAGAAAAGUUUCUAAGUUUAGCUAAUGUUGCCCGUACCGUAAACCGACACAGGUGGGUGGGAUGAGUAUUCUAAGGCGCGUGGAAGAACUCUCUUUAAGGAACUCUGCAAAAUAGCACCGUAUCUUCGGUAUAAGGUGUGGUUAGCUUUGUAUUAGGAUUUACUCCGAAAGCGAAGAAACUUACAACAAAGAGUCCCUCCCGACUGUUUACCAAAAACACAGCACUCUGCUAACUCGUAAGAGGAUGUAUAGGGUGUGACGCCUGCCCGGUGCUCGAAGGUUAAUUGAUGGGGUUAGCAUUAGCGAAGCUCUUGAUCGAAGCCCGAGUAAACGGCGGCCGUAACUAUAACGGUCCUAAGGUAGCGAAAUUCCUUGUCGGUUAAAUACCGACCUGCAUGAAUGGCGUAACGAGAUGGGAGCUGUCUCAAAGAGGGAUCCAGUGAAAUUGUAGUGGAGGUGAAAAUUCCUCCUACCCGCGGCAAGACGGAAAGACCCCGUGGACCUUUACUACAGCUUGACACUGCUACUUGGAUAAGAAUGUGCAGGAUAGGUGGGAGGCUUUGAGUAUAUGACGCCAGUUGUAUAGGAGCCAUUGUUGAGAUACCACUCUUUCUUAUUUGGGUAGCUAACCAGCUUGAGUUAUCCUCAAGUGGGACAAUGUCUGGUGGGUAGUUUGACUGGGGCGGUCGCCUCCCAAAUAAUAACGGAGGCUUACAAAGGUUGGCUCAGAACGGUUGGAA